UCAGAUAAAACCCUAAGUCUGGAUCUUGAUUUCAUUUGGAUCCUUUUCUUUAUUUAUUUGAUAAUUAAAUUUGAUACUUAAGGACCGUCAACAAACUCCCCCAAGCUUACCUCUUGCUCGUCCCUGAGCAAGGAUAGACUCAGCAAUGGAUCAUAAGUAGUUGCAAUAUCUUUAAAAAUUGACGGUACACAUGCUUUUUAAAUAAGAUCUCAUCUCUGAGUUAGAGUAAACUGUCAAGACUUAAAACUUACUUACUUUACCUUCACCAUGGGACUUGUAACUGUCACUUCCGUCUUGAGUGGUUAAAAGAUAGAACAGUCUAGCCAAGUGCCAUGUCUCUUAUUCUUGAUCAUCUAUAGCUCUGGGGUUUUUGCAGAUUUUCAAAUAAAACUCAGAGAUUCCUUGUAUGAUUCUCUCAGAUCUCUCUUUUGUGGUAUUUUUGGAUCCUUACCAAGGCAUUGAUGGUAUAUGCCUUCUCUCAAGAUAUGUAGUAUUUGUGGUAUAAGGCAUAGUGACAUUGCCUUCUCUCUCACCCUACUCUAAUAAGGCUUUAAUAUCUGGAGCUCAUAGGUGGGAGAUAAAGUAUACAUACUCACAGGACAUUUAUUGCAUAGUCAAACCAUGGAUCCAAAGAAACAAAUCAAUAAGCCAAAUCAAGAUGUGCAUGUGUGGCGAAUGAAUGGUGUAUGGUGAUGAUGGUGAUAACAAUGGUGAAAACAAUGGUGGUGGAAGUCUAAUUCUACUUUGCUCUUUUUAGGGGAUACAUACCUUCCUUGCUUUUGAAACUUUAUGAGGAGAAUGAGAUGCUCUUCUUUUUCUUGUCUCUGAGGUGGGUAUCUUGUACCCCUAAUUCUACUGUCGGACAGUUGUCCAUUUUUACCUCUCGUCUCACUCUUUCUUUUCUUUCGAGGUUCCGAGCACUUGCUCCUUUUUAUUUUCUCGUAUAUUUUUUUUAUUUUCUUCUUUUUUUUAGAGCACUCAUCUCUUGAGAUAAUAUAGCAAGUGGUAGUAACAAGAUAACUUGAGCAUUUAUUUCACAAGGGGAAACAGAAAUAUUUUUGGUUAUUCUCUCCCGGAUUAGGAGUAGAAUAUUUUUAGGUGGUUCUGGAGAUGGAAAUGGAUGGAUAUAUGUGGAUGGUACUUCCGGAGUAGAAGUAGCAUAUAUGAGUGAACGUGCAAGUGAAAUCUUGAUUUAACCACAUGACAAGCUCCUAAGGGUCUACACAGCUUGACCACACUCAAUGCUCAUAAGCAGUAAAUAAUAAAUGUGUGGCUCAAAGUCUAGCAAGCAUGUAUAUAUGGCGGUGGUAGGAAUUUAAGCUCUCAUCAUACAGGAACUCAUCAUGCAACAUUUUAAAGAUUUUCAAAGAUAAAAUUCUCCAGAAUUCUAGCAUCUCUAGGAACAGAUAAACAGCAGCUCAACCUUCCCAUAUCGUAUCCGUUAACAACUUAGACUUCAGAUCAAGUUUUCAUCCCACAAGUUUAGGUCUAGGGCAAGCUUUAAAUUAUAACAGUUAUAUCUAAACUUGAGAGAGAACUUAGAAUGUGCAAAUUAGGUAGAGCAACUAUUCAUCAUAUCCAUGCUUAAGUUUUUGUUUAGAUACAGAUUAGCAUAGCCACUUUAUUUAUUUAUUAAACACACUAAGCAAAAGACAUAUAUAAGCAUAAAAUCUUUAUUUGGUUUUCCCAUAGUUUAUGUGUAUUUUAAUAUUCUAAAAUAAUAUAAGUAUAAAAAUAGAUAGAAAUACUUAUCGAGGUAAAUGGGGGUUUUCCCAUAGUUUAUGUGUAUUUUUAUUUUCUUUUUAGGAUAGUGCGAACAUGAUUAACUAAGUAAACUAGUUGAAAUAAUUAAAAGGGAAAGGAUAACUACUAAGUUUACCUCUUGGCAGGGCGUUCGGUGUUUUUAAGUCCUCCGAACGGGACUCUCCAAUUUCUUAAUCGUCCUGAGGUUCGUUGGGUGGCGAAGUCGUUACUUCUGGCAGCGCCUCCUCUUCUUGUAUAGUUAUCUUCAUUUUCCAUACCUGACUCGAUGCUUCAAUCUCCUCUGGAUAAUUCUGUUUAAACUCCACGUCUUCUGACCUUACAACUUCUCCUUCAUAGUCUGCCCAUCCGUCCUUGAUGAUCUGCCUCCUCUGGUUGCGGUUGCGUCUCUUUCUGACCUGCUUAGAUUCUUCAAUGAUAUAGUUAGGGUCAGUAAAAUAACGGCGUACCUUCUCUGAGGGGAAGUGCAUAUGGACUUCUCCGGUUCCAAUGUAGAUAAUUGCUUUAACGGUGCUGAGGAACGGUCUUCCAAGGAUGAUGGGUGGAUCGUACUCGUCUUCUCCUAUGUCAAUAACUUGAAAGUCUGUGUAGACAAAGUGAUCGUCUAUUUUGACUCGGACAUCGGAUAUUAUUCCUUGAACUUCUCGAAAUGUCUGAUCUGCCAUCUGGAGCUGAAUGUAUGUUGGUCUUAGUGGCAUGGUCCCGAACAAGAGCCGAUAAGUGACUGCGGCCAUUAUGUUGACGCCCGAUCCGGUGUCGCAAAUCGUCUUGUAGAAGUUAUAUCCAUUUACGGAGCAGUAGAUGCUUGGCAUUCCUGGGUCGUCCUUCUUGGUCAAACACGGUGACUUAAGUUGGUGAUCUUGGCCUCCAUGGACUACAGUGACCAUCUUAGCUGACUCGGUCCAUACUUGCUUGUUCCUAUUUCUCCUGUUGGUCCUCUUCCUUGAUUCACGUCUGGAUUGAUCUGGAAUUCGUGUAGUCUUGUUCUUGAAGAAAAAUGUCUCCUUGUAAGGACCUUGAUGUCGCCUAGAGGGGGGUGAAUAGGCGUACCAAAAAAACCUGAAACUCAAAACUCAAGUUGCGGAAGUUAAAUGCCUGUCGGUACCACCGACAGUUUGGGCCGGUACUACUGGUGUAAGACAGCCAGUACUACCGACGCAACUGUUGGUACUACCGACGCCCUAAGAGGGCUACGAAAUCAGAGUAUUUUGAGUUUCUAUUCCAGAUGUGAGAGUUACCCCACUCUCCUAGAUGUAGUAGAGGAUGAUGUUGAAGUUCCCUUGGCUUGGUUCUUCUCCAAAACAUAGAUCGGCCCUUGUUCACCUAUGAACGGGGUAGAUAGGAAGAACACAAAAAACACAAGAACAAGGGUAGUCGAAGCUACCUCCACAGCAAGACAUGAUAUUUAUCCCGUGGUUCAGCUCGCCACCAAGGCUUGCCUAUGUCCACGUUGUUGAGGAAGCCACACAGGCUUUUCGGGUCUCUUUCAACCCUAUCCUCGUUCUCAAGUCAAGAGAGCAAUCCCUUGAGAUGAGGGGUGAUUUCACUAGGUGAUUUGAGUGACUACAAACCUCCCGAGGCUACCACAUGAGUAGGAAGCUCUACGGGCAAUGCCUAGCCGGCUAGGAGCCUUGCUCCAAGAGUAACAAACACAAAUCCAACCGGCUUGACGAAGAAAUCAAGUGCUCAAGCUUUGCUUUGAUGUUUCUCUCACCAAGAAUCCUUCUCUCACUCAAUCCCUUGCAAGAUUUGAAGUUAGGAGCAAAGGGGAUACACGAGAGGGGCUUUUGGGAGCUAGAGAGGUGCCUUGGCUGAAGGUUUGGUCGAGUGGAAGAGUGAGCCAACGGUUAGAAAGAGGGGAAAGCUAUUUAUACAGGUGUUCAGAACAACUGCCGGUACUACCGGGGCAACCACCGGUACCACCGGCUACCUCAGAUCUAACGGUAAGAAGUCUCUAUGAUUUGCGAGAAAUAAGCCUACCGGUACCACCGGGCUUUUGUCGGUACUACCGACCAUUGCCGGUACCACCGGUGGAAGGCCGGUACCACCGGCAGUUCAAAUCUCCGCAACCAAAGUCAGCGCGGAUUUGGCCUGCCGGUACUACCGACGUUUCACACCGGUACUACUGGUGCUGGCCGGUACCACCGGCCCGAGCCCGGUACUACCGGUAGUUCAUUUUCUUGCAAAACUCAGGAGAAAGGGCUGGCAUUGCCGGUACGACCGGCCCUGAGGGUUGGUACUACCGGGUCACCUUGGCAGAGAAGAAAUUUCGUGAGUGCCUAAGAGUGCAAGUGUUAGAGUGUCUCUCUUUUGAUUAGUUUUAAUACUUGAGCACUCUAUCUUCCUCAAACCAACUAAAUUUGCAUCCCUCUUUAUAGUGCGGCAAAUCCUAAACUCAAGGUCAAAAGUAUAUAACCAAUUUAACCACUUGAGUCUUCAAUGUCUUCAUAUGCCACUUCUUCUCAAUAUCACUUCAUCAAGGAUGCAAUUAACUUUGUCUCAUCUUCUUUGAGUAAAUAUAGCUUGAGCAUGUGACUUUAAUCAUUUCAACAUAUGUGAGUUCAAUCCAUGACUUCAAGUCACUUCCAUUAAAGAUUUUGAUCCUCAACACAAUAUGACUCAUCAUAGCUUAAUUAGUACCUCGACUCAAUGCAAGUACUCUCUUCUUCACCUUAGCCAUGGUACCUCGGUCUACAAGCCAUUGCUUGACCUUCACCUUCGCUUAGUCCCUCGAAGCCUUUUCCUUGCUAUCUUCACUCUAUCAAGCCAUACUCAAGUCACAUCAUGUUAAGCAUCCAUUGAAAAAUUGUUUCUUCAAUAUUGUGAUUCUUGCUUGAAUAUCUUCUUGAUAUGAGCGUUAACAUUAAACAAGCUUCAGUUUACACCAACACACAACUUUGGUCUUCAUUUGAACAAUGUGUGAAAUACCAUCAAGUUUGCUUUCUUGUUGACCCUUUGAUACACUUAGCAAACUUGUUAGACCCUUAAUUGUGUUGUCAUUCAAUUCACCAAAACCCACUAAAGGGCUAGAUGCACUUACACUCCUUCUUCCCUUUGACGUAUAAACUGAUCUUGGCAGCUCUGGCGUAGAUGAUAGCUCCUGUGGUGUUCAAAAAUGGCCUUCCUAGGAUGAUAGGUGCUCUCUCAUCAUUUCCGGUCUCUACCACUACGAAGUCUGCUGGGGCAUACAAGGUACCAACUCGGACACAAAGGUUCCUCACUAUUCCUUUUGGAAAAGUUAUCGUCUGAUCUGCAAACUGCAAACACAUGGUUGUCUCUAAUAAAGGAUAUGUAAAGAAUUUCUCAUAGAGUACCCUGGGUAUAAUGUUGACGCUAUAGCCAAAGUCAUAGAGUGCUUCUGGAACAUCCACCAUGCCGAUGGAGAUCGGGAUGACGGGGCGUCCUGGAUCGCCUCUCUUGACCGGCAGACGGUCAGUAGAAAAUUCAGUGACGGGGUUACUCCAAUUACCUGCAUGAAACAUGUCUACAAGAUUUGCAGAUUCUAAUCCUUCCGUUUGUGAUGGUAUACCGGGGUUAGUAGUAGGAACAGCAGCAACUAUUUGAUUUAACUGAGAUUCAAUCAUUUUAUUAAAGCUAAUUUGAUUCUUGAUGGCAGUAGAGAAAUUAUCCAUUCUAUUAUUUAUAUUUUCUAGCAUUUUAUCAUUUGAUGCCAAUUUCUUAGACAGGUUAUCCAUUAGCUUUCCUUGAUUAGACACUAACUCUCUCAAAGGUGGAAAAUUAUUAUUAUUGUUGUAAGAAUUGUUACCUUGAUAAUUACCUGAGUAGUUAGGCCUCUGUUGAUUCCAACCUUGAUUUUGUUGAGGACGGUUGUAGUUGUUGUUGUUGUUGUUGAUGUAGUUCACAUCCUCAAGCAUCUUAGGGCAGUGGUUGCCUGAGUGUCCAGUGUCUCCACACUCCUCACAAGCCAAAAAUGCUUGUUGGGUAUUCUUAACAUCAUUACCAAAAGUAGACUAAGUUCUCUAAAUCUAGUAACGGUGCCAAAAAUGUCAAACCUAUCCCUCACACCACUUAAGCCAAGUUGUCAUCCCCAGCAUGAUAUAAGAGACGCGGUAUUGAAAUAUGCAAUUGCUCUUCUAAAUAAAUAAUGAAUUGGAUCUGCAAGCGCACAGAUUAAUACCGAUGUAGCAUUUUAACCGGGAAGUAUUCCAGGUAUCGUUAUUUAUAUUUUUACCACUGGGAAGGGAUUAGCAAUCAUCACUACUGAUUACAGAAUAGAAUAUGAGAUUGAGCAUCUAUCAUUGCAUGUAUAAUUGAGAACAUUAUAUCUAACUCUUCAUACAGGGAUAAGUGUCACAUAAAGGAUAUAUGAAAUAAUAAUAGUGACAAAGAUAAGUAAUCUGAUCUAGCCACAUAAUAAAUAUGAUAAGCACCUCAAUUAGAUACUCUAGAAAGUCAUUAGCAUGGUAUUAGAACGAACUACAAGAAUAUUCCCUAAGUUAUUCUCAACUAUAUAGUCUAGCAUAUCAUAGUUAGUGCAAGCAUACUUAGCAAUCAUUGCGAGACAAGACUACGCCCAUGCAUAGUGAUAUUAGCAAGGAAUAUGAGAAACAUAGCAAUCACUCCCCUGUAAUAAUGUUGCUCUGCCAGCCCAAUACACGAGAGGGGGACUAUAUAAGAAUCAAUGAAGCUGUCACUAUCACGAACCACCCCACGAUCUGGCAUAUUGGGUACAAUCGCAGAUAAAUACGGUAUAAGCACCACGCCUACACAAUAUCUAUCAUUUACCCAUGGAUCUGAUGGAUAAACGCUAUACGAUCCUAAGCAUGUAUAUAGAUCCAAUCUAACUAAGCCAAGUACAUAACUAUGAUAAACUAAGAACAAUAUAAUCUUGAAUAUAAGCAAGUAGAGCAAGGUCAUAAGCAAUAUAUUGAAGUAGAACAAAGUCAUAUUCAUAAUAUUGAAGAACAAAGAUAAUUAGAAAGCAAUUAGAAGCACAAUUAGAGAAUUACCAAGAAUCCUCUUGACAGAUCCGAAAACCAAUCGAAGAUUGACUCCUUCUAGUUCUAAUCCUAUGUAGCUAUGCUAAUCUAGAUAUCUAAUUGAUGUGGUGGCUCUAAUCUUGAUCAGAGGCUUCUUCUCCCUUGAUGGAACAAUGAAUUAGGGUUGAGAGGCUCUCUCCUCCAGGGGCCAGGGGGUCUGGUUUUAUAGUCCCUUCAAGUGAAUAUGGGCCCUUGGAUCAAACCGACAUAGAUUGUAUGGUUUAGAUUCAUCCUUUAGGUCGGUGGAGACUUCCCGCAAAGCAGAGUCCUGAUUGGACUUGGGAGCAGGGCGGGCGCCCAGUAGGACAGGGCGGGCGCCCUGUCUCUAGCCCUGAUUCGCCUCAGCUUCGGUCUCGUGGCUUCUGGAGUCUUCUAGAUGUAAGAUAAUUGCGCAGCACGUUAAUACCUUUACGUAAUCCUGACAUGUGGGCCUUUCUUCCAUAUUUCCUGAUAACCCCCUGCAGAAAUAGACAAACACCAAAACUCGUGGAAUUCUGUCAGAUAAAACCCUAAGUCUAGAUCUUGAAUUCAUUUGGAUCCUUUUCUUUAUUUAUUUGAUAAUUAAAUUUGAUACUUAAGGACCGUCAACAAACUCCCCCAAGCUUACCUCUUGCUCGUCCCUGAGCAAGGAUAGACUCAGCUAUGGAUCAUAAGUUGUUGCUAUAUUUUAAAAUUUUGACGGUACACAUGCUUUUAAAUAAGAUCUCAUCUCUGAGUUAGAGUAAACUGUCAAGAUUUAAAACUUACUUACUUUACCUACACCAUGGGACUUGUAACUGUCACUUCUGUCUUGAGUGGUUAAAAGAUAGAACAGUCUAGCCAAGUGCCAUGUCUCUUAUUCUUGAUCAGCUAUAACUCUGGGGUUUUUUGCAGAUUUUCAAAUAAAACUCAAAGAUUCCUUGUAUGAUUCUCUCAGGUCUCUCUUUUGUGGUAUUUUUGGAUCCUUACCAAGGCAUUGAUGGUAUAUGCCUUCUCUCAAGAUAUGUAGUAUUUGUGGUAUAAGGCAUAGUGACAUUGCCUUCUCUCUCACCCUACUCUAAUAAGGCUUUAAUAUCUGGAGCUCAUAGGUGGGAGAUAAAGUGUACAUACUUACAAGACAUUUAUUGCAUAGUCAAACCAUGGAUCCAAAGUAACAAGUCAUUAAGCCAAAUCAAGAUGUGCAUGUGUGGCGAAUGAAUGGUGUAUGGUGAUGAUGGUGAUAACAAUGGUGAAAACAAUGGUGGUGGAUGUCUAAUUCUACUUUGCUCUUUGAGGGGAUACAUACCUUCCUUGCUUUUGAAACUUUAUGAGGAGAAUGAGAUGCUCUUCUUUUUCUUGUCUCUCAGGUGGGUAUCUUGCACCCCUAAUUCUACUGUCGGACACUUGUCCAUUUUUACCUCUCGUCUCACUCUUUCUUUUCUUUCGAGGUUCCGAGCACUUGCUCCUUUUUAUUUCCUCGUAUAUUUUUUUUAUUUUCUUCUUUUUUCUAGAGCACUCAUCUCUUGAGAUAAUAUAGCAAGUGGUAGUAACAAGAUAACUUGAGCAUUUAUUUCACAAGGGGAAACAGAAAUAUUUUUGGUUAUUCUCUCCCGGAUUAGGAGCAGAAUAUUUUUGGGUGAUUCUGGAGAUGGAAAUGGUUGGAUAUAUGUGGAUGGUACUUCCGGAGUAGAAGUAGCAUAUAUGAGUGAACGUGCAAGUGAAAUCUUGAUUUAACCACAUGACAAGCUCCUAAGGGUCUACACAGCUUGACCACACUCAAUGCUCAUAAGCAGUAAAUAAUAAAUGUGUGGCUCAAAGUCUAGCAAGCAUGUAUAUAUGGCUGUGGUAGGAAUUUAAGCUCUCAUCAUACAGGAACUCAUCAUGCAACAUUUUAAAGAUUUUCAAAGAUAAAAUUCUCCAGAAUUCUAGCAUCUCUAGGAACAGAUAAACAGCAGCUCAACCUUCCCAUAUCGUAUCCGUUAACAACUUAGACUUUAGAUCAAGUUUUCAUCCCACAAGUUUAGGUCUAGGGCAAGCUUUAAAUUAUAACAGUUAUAUCUAGACUUGAGAGAGAACUUAGAAUGUGCAAAUUAGGCAGAGCAACUAUUCAUCAUAUCCAUGCUUAAGUUUUUGUUUAGAUACAGAUUAGCAUAGCCACUUUAUUUAUUUAUUAAACACACUAAGCAAAAGACAUAUAUAAGCAUAAAAUCUUUAUUUGGUUUUCCCAUAGUUUAUGUGUAUUUUAAUAUUCUAAAAUAAUAUAAGUAUAAAAAUAGAUAGAAAUACUUAUCAAGGUAAAUGGGGGUGCUCUCCCCCAAGCUGAAUUUUGACGUAAUUUCUCUUAAUGUAGCUAGCAGGUGGCAGAGGUGUAUUUGAAAGUCAGCAGUAUUCUGACAGCGAUUAGAAUGUCCUCCGUCUGCCAGUCUUCUUGAUUCUUAAAUUCUGUGGAGCUCAAAUAGACAACAAAGCUUGUGGAACUGAUUAAGUGUUAGCAUAAAUAUCUAGCCUUUAUUAUCUUGAGACUCCUCAAUAAAUAUUACUCCCUGUUUUUAUAUUUUUUUAUUUUAUAAAGCAGAAAUGAAAUUUUUAUUUUAUUUUUAUGCCACCACAGUGAAUGUAUUUAUGGGUUUUAUGCCACUCGUAUACUCACAUGGGGCUUACUGUUUUUUCACAUUUUUAUUUUCUUUUUAGGAUAGUGCGAACAUGAUUAACUAAGUAAACUAGUUGAAAUAAUUAAAAGGGAAAGGAUAACUACUAAGUUUACCUCUUGGCAGGGCGUUCGGUGUUUUUAAGUCCUCCGAACGGGACUCUCCAAUUUCUUAAUCGUCCUGAGGUUCGUUGGGUGGCGAAGUCGGUACUUCUGGCAGCGCCUCCUCUUCUUGUAUAGUUAUCUUCAUUUUCCAUACCUGACUCGGUGCUUCAAUCUCCUCUGGACAAUUCUGUUUAAACUCCACGUCUUCUGACCUUACAACUUCUCCUUCAUAGUCUGCCCAUCCGUCCUUGAUGAUCUGCCUCCUCUGGUUGCGGUUGCGUCUCUUUCUGACCUGCUUAGAUUCUUCAAUGAUAUAGUUAGGGUCAGUAAAAUAACGGCGUACCUUCUCUGAGGGGAAGUGCAUAUGGACUUCUCCGGUUCCAAUGUAGAUAAUUGCUUUAACGGUGCUGAGGAACGGUCUUCCAAGGAUGAUGGGUGGAUCGUACUCGUCUUCUCCCAUGUCAAUAACUUGAAAGUCUGUGUAGACAAAGUGAUCGUCUAUUUUGACUGAGACAUCAGAUAUUAUUCCUUGAACUUCUCGAAAUGUCUGAUCUGCCAUCUGGAGCUGAAUGUAUGUUGGUCUUAGUGGCAUGGUCCCGAACAAGAGCUGAUAAGUGACUGCGGCCAUUAUGUUAACGCCCGAUCCGGUGUCGCAAAUCGUCUUGUAGAAGUUAUAUCCAUUUAUGGAGCAGUAGAUGCUUGGCAUUCCUGGGUCGUCCUUCUUGGUCAAAAACGGUGACUUAAGUUGGUGAUCUUGGCCUCCAUGGACUACAGUGACCAUCUUAGCUGAAUCGGUCCACACUUGCUUGUUCCUGUUCCUCCUGUUGGUCCUCUUCCCUGAUUCACGUCUGGAUUGAUCUGGAAUUUGUGUAGUAUUGUUCUUGAAGAAAAAUGUCUCCUUCUUUCCUUUGAUGUAGAAACUGAUCUUGGCAGCACUAGCAUAGAUGAUAGCUCCCGUGGUGUUCAAAAAUGGCCUUCCUAGGAUGAUAGGUGCUCUCUCAUCAUUUCUGGUCUCAACCACUACGAAGUCUGCUGGGGCAUAUAAAGUACCAACUCGGACACAAAGGUUCCUCACUAUUCCUUUUGGAAAAGUUAUCGUCUGAUCUGCAAACUGCAAACACAUGGUUGUUUCUAACAAAGGAUAUGUAAAGAAUUUCUCAUAGAGUACCCUGGGUAUAAUGUUGACGCUAGAGCCAAAGUCACAGAGUGCUUCUGGAACGUCCACCAUGCCGAUGGAGAUCGGGAUGACGGGGCGUCCUGGAUCGCCUCUCUUGACCGGUAGACGGUCAGUAGAAAAUUCAGUGACGGGGUUACUCCAAUUACCUGCAUCAAACAUGUCUACAAGAUUUGCAGAUUCUAAUCCUUCCGGUUGUGAUGGUAUACUGGGGUUAGUAGUAGGAACAGCAGCAGCUAUUUGAUUUAACUGAGAUUCAAUCAUUUUAUUAAAGCUAAUUUGAUUCUUGAUGGCAGUAGAGAAAUUAUCCAUUCUAUUAUUUAUAUUUUCUAGCAUUUUAUCAUUAGACACCAAUUUCUUAGAUAGAUUAUCCAUUAGCUUUCCUUGAUUAGACACUAACUCUCUCAAAGGUGGAAAAUUAUUAUUAUUGUUGUAAGAAUUGUUACCUUGAUAAUUACCUGAGUAGUUAGGCCUCUGUUGAUUCCAACCUUGAUUUUGUUGAGGACGGUUGUAGUAGUAGUUGUUGUUGUUGUUGAUGUAGUUCACAUCCUCAAGCAUCUCAGGGCAGUGGUUGCCUGAGUGUCCAGUGUCUCCACACUCCUCACAAGUCAUGUGAGAGUCGUAGAUGUGCAUAACUUCUUUCUUGUCUCUAGCUCUAUCGUCGAGCUUCUUCAUGAGCAGGUCUAGCUUUGCAGACAGCAUGCCUACCUCCUUGAGCUGAUGUAUACCUCCACCUCUCUUGCGUGUCUGGGUCCUCUCUUCAUUCCAGCUUUGGUUGGACGCCAUCUUCUCCACAAGAGCUGUGGCUUGUGGUAUAGUAAGUGAUAAGAAUGCUCCUCCAGCUGCAGCAUCCAUGGUCUCUCGGGCACUGUUGCUGAGGCCAUGAUAGAAUGUCUGCAUCAGUAGCCAACUCUCCAUUCCAUGAUGGGGACAUUCUAGGAUGUAGUCUUGAAAGCGCUCCCAUGCUUCUGGAACAGAUUCAUCAUUUUAUUGCUGAAAACUUGUAAUCUUCCCACGGAGAGCAUUGGUCUUGCCCAUGGGAAAGAACUUAGCCAGGAAGUUUGUUGAGCAGAGUGCCCACGUAGUAUUCUUCUCCUUUGUAGCGUAGAACCACUGCUUCGCUCUUCCUAACAGUGAGAAUGGGAAGAGGCGAAGUAGUAUAGCGUCUUUGGAAACUCCUGCUAUGGUGAAUGUGUUGCAAAUCUCCAGGAAGUGUUGUAAAUGAGCACUAGCGUCUUCGUGUGCCUUCCCACAGAACUAGUUGGAUUGCACCAUGUUGAUAAGUCCAGGCUUGAGCUCAAAGUUGCCAUCGAUCUCUGCAGCAGGUCCAGUGCGGAUGUUGUCCGUAGUGGGAGCUGAGAACUCGCGGAUUGAUUUGUUCGCCAUUGCUUCGAACUCUGAAGACAAGUUCCGGUGAUCUUCUUGAUUGGAUGAAGCUUCUUCGUGAAGUGUUGAUGAUUUCUUUAGCUUGGCUCUCGUCUUCUUGAAUAAUGCUUCAGGAUUGUCAACAAAAUUUCCUGGAAGAUGUCUUCUAUUCAUACAUUCCCCUGCAUAAGAUAAAAUAGAAAAAUAUCGGGGUAAAACUGUAUGAGAGAAUAGAUAAGCUCAAUCAUAUUAGUGAUGCGAAUGAUAACUCAAAAUCUUUUUAUUCCAUUCCUGAUUAGUAAUAAACCUUCCCCGGCAACGGCGCCAAAAAUGCUUGUUGGGUAUUCUUAACAUCAUUACCAAAAGUAGACUAAGUUCUCUAAAUCUAGUAACGGUGCCAAAAAUGCCAAACCUAUCCCUCACACCACUUAAGCCAAGUUGUCAUCCCCAGCAUGAUAUAAGAGACGCGGUAUUGAAAUAUGCAAUUGCUCUUCUAAAUAAAUAAUGAAUUGGAUCUGCAAGCGCACAGAUUAAUACCGAUGUAGCAUUUUAACCGGGAAGUAUUCCAGGUAACGUUAUUUAUAUUUUUACCACUGGGAAGGGAUUAGCAAUCAUCACUAUUGAUUACAGAAUAGAAUAUGAGAUUGAGCAUCUAUCAUUGCAUGUAUAAUUGAGAACAUUAUAUCUAACUCUUCAUACAGGGAUAAGUGUCACAUAAAGGAUAUAUGAAAUAAUAAUAGUGACAAAGAUAAUUAAUCUGAUCUAGCCACAUAAUAAAUAUGAUAAGCACCUCAAUUAGAUACUCUAGAAAGUCAUUAGCAUGGUAUUAGAACGAACUACAAGAAUAUUCCCUAAGUUAUUCUCAACUAUAUAGUCUAGCAUAUCAUAGUUAGUGCAAGCAUACUUAGCAAUCAUUGCGAGACAAGACUACGCCCAAGCAUAGUGAUAUUAGCAAGGAAUAUGAGAAACAUAGCAAUCACUCCCCUGUAAUAAUGUUGCUCUGCCAGCCCAAUACACGAGAGGGGGACUAUAUAAGAAUCAAUGAAGCUGUCACUAUCACGAACCACCUCACGAUCUGGCAUAUUGGGUACAAUCGCAGAUAAAUACGGUAUAAGCACCACGCCUACACAAUAUCUAUCAUUUACCCAUGGAUCCGAUGGAUAAACGCUAUACGAUCCUAAGCAUGUAUAUAGAUCUAAUCUAACUAAGCCAAGUACAUAACUAUGAUAAACUAAGAACAAUAUAAUCUUGAAUAUAAGCAAGUAGAGCAAAGUCAUAAGCAAUAUAUUGAAGUAGAACAAAGUCAUGUUCAUAAUAUUGAAGAACAAAGAUAAUUAGAAAGCAAUUAGAAGGACAAUUAGAGAAUUACCAAGAAUCCUCUUGACAGAUCCGGAAACCAAUCGAAGAUUGACUCCUUCUAGUUCUAAUCCUAUGUAGCUAUGCUAAUCUAGAUAUCUAAUUGAUGUGGUGGCUCUAAUCUUGAUCAGAGGCUUCUUCUCCCUUGAUGGAACAAUGAAUUAGGGUUGAGAGGCUCUCUCCUCCAGGGGCCAGGGGGUUUGGUUUUAUAGUCCCUUCAAGUGAAUAUGGGCCCUUGGAUCAAACCGACAUAGAUUGUAUGGUUUAGAUUCAUCCUUUAGGUCGGUGGAGACUUCCCGCAAAGCAGAGUCCUGAUUGGACUUGGGAGCAGGGCGGGCGCCCAGUAGGACAGGGCGGGCGCCCUGUCUCUGGCCCCGAUUCGCCUCAGCUUCGGUCUCGUGGCUUCUGGAGUCUUCUAGAUGUAAGAUAAUUGCGCAGCACGUUAAUACCUUUACGUAAUCCUGACAUGUGGGCCUUUCUUCCAUAUUUCCUGAUAACCCCCUGCAGAAAUAGACAAACACCAAAACUCAUGGAAUUCUGUCUGAUAAAACCCUAAGUCUAGAUCUUGAAUUCAUUUGGAUCCUUUUCUUUAUUUAUUUGAUAAUUAAAUUUGAUACUUAAGGACCGUCAACAGAGAUCAUACCUCUUCUACAGAAUCAAAGUUAGGGUUUCAAUUCUUCAUCCAAGUAGAGAGGAUCCCUCUAGUUCUUCUAGUUCUACCUCUAGUUCAUCAAGAUCUAGUUCUAGUUCAUCUAGUUCUAGUUCUAGUUCCUCUAGUUCUAGUUCUAGUUAGUUUUAGUUGUAAUAUAGAAAAUAGGGAGAGAGAAGAGGAGAGCGGAGGAGGAGCCGGAUCUGUCGGAUCUUCCUCAACAUUAUACUUUUGCAGCAUCUGGUUCGUUCUUCAUCGUUCUCCAGGUUCUUCAAUUCAUAAUCCUGAGUUCUCUAAUUACUUUUAUUUACAUUCAAGUUAUUUAUUAGAUUCCCGCUUGCAAUAAGUGCUCUAGUCUUUAUAACGCUAGAGUAGUAAUUAAUAGAUUAGACGUGGUGUUUAGUCUUGCAAUUACCUGGAAUUGCACCCAAUCUUGCGGAUUGUUGUGGUAGCCUUAGGGUAGUGACGGCCCUAACGGUCGACGUAUUCCACCUCGUUCGGAUCGGUGUUUGUAGGACCGUAGUCGGAGCUUCCUAGCCCCCUUCUCAUCUCUUUUUGUGGUUAGUGUUCUUAUGUCCCGAAAUAGAUAAUCUUGAGGUAAUUCUUGAUUCUUAGAUCAACUAGAGAACUCUUAGGAAACUUCCUCUCUUCCCACCAAAAAAAACAAUUAUAUAUUUAUCCUUAGGCGAUCUUGGAUCUUAAUUAGUACACUCACGUUCUCUGUGGAAAAUCGAUACUCUGGAAUACUCCCGGGUGAAGGCUACAUCGGUAUCCGUGCACUUGCGGAUUUUUCUGUUUGCGUUUAACAUACCCAACAACAUGAAGCAAUUAGACUAAAGUCCUAAGUGAGAAUAAUACAACAUACACUACACUUAGCACUAGUUCAUAUAAUACACUACUAGCCCUAGGGUAGCAUUAUACGAUAAGAACUAUAUACUAAAAUGUAUGUCAUAUUAUUUUCACUAGAACUAUAUUCUAGUUCAUAUGCUAGCAUCAUAAAACAUGGCCUAUGAUCUAUAUCAUAUACCAUAGCAUAAGAACUAUACUCUAGUUCAUAUGAAGAACAAUAUCGCACAUGAUAAGGCAUGGACUUGGAGUAAAGAUAUUCUUUAUUCAUACCCAAGUUUCUCUCCAAGGAGCCAAGCCCUCCUUGAUAGCUCACCCAACUCUCUCUCUAAAAGCUAAAAGGAAAAACUAAGAAGAGGUAGUGCCCAAGUGCCUUGAAGGUGGAGUGUUGAUUGUGAAUGUGAUGAGAUGAAUGGAGCCUCCCUCUCCCCCUCCUUAAAUAGGUGGGGAAGGUCAGUUCCCCAGGGUGUAAACUGCAAUUUGGACGCGGGGACUACUGGAGGAUAGGCUCAGCACCGCCUCUGCGAAAGGCGGUGCCGAGAUGGGCUGGGUCAGGGUCGGCCGACCCUAGGGGGCAGCCGCCCUCUGGUGGGCCCCGCUGGCCCCGGCCCGAAGCCCGUUGCCUUCCUCUCGGGCCCCUGAGUCCAGAUCCACCUGCAAAUUGAUGCACUUCUAUAUUGGGCUUUUGGGUACUUGUUUAUUUGCGCAUUUUUUGACGUGUCGGAUUGCGCCUUUUUAUUUUCUUUCUACCUGUAUGUCUGUAUAUGAUCUGCAAAACACAACUUGCACUACAUGUGGAACUUGGUAAGCAUUUAAUAAGUAUAUGUGAGUAAAAUACAUGCUUUUCUUCCUUUGCAUAGACUAUGUUGGCGGGUUAAAUAUGUCAUUAAGAACCGCCAACAAACUCCCCCAAGCUUACCCCUUGCUCGACCUCGAGCAAGAAGCUAAGAUCUUUGUUGUUGAUGAGGAGUUGCUACAAUAUUUUCACUUCUAUCCAGUACAUACCUUCAAACAAGAAUUCUCCUUCGAAUUUUGAACAGAUAUGUCAUGGGGCUUAUUGCUCAUACCUUGGGUCCUUAAGCAUUUGCAGGAUGGAUUUGAUCAGAUCGAGCGCUAUGUCCCUAGUUCUUUACUUCACUUUUGUUCUGGAGUUUUUGAUUUUCAAAACAUAGCACAUUUAUUUGUCAAAUGAAACAAUGGAUCCAAAGAGAAAGUUAAUCAUACCAUUGAAUUUUUGAAAACUUUUUCUUUUCCAUCAUUCUCUUUUUGUCUAUUAGAGACACAUGGCUAUGUUAAUUCUACUGUUGGGCACUUGCCCAUUUUUUUUUUAUUUUUUUCGAGGUUCCGCACACAUGUCCCUUUUUAUUUCCUCGUGAUCUUUCUUUUUGAGGUUUCAGACACAUGUCCCUUUUUAUUUCCUCGGAUGCUUUUCUUUUCUUUUUCAUAGCCAUAUGUCUUCUAACAAACCUUUGAGAUGAUAACAUAAUGAAAUAUUUUUGUUUUCAAUGGUAUGACAACCUCUCAAAGGGUCAACAAAGCUUAAUCUAACUCAAUGUGAUUAUUUUAUUUUUGUAAAAACUCUAGAACUCUAGCGUUGUUUAGAACAGGAUACUAGCAGCUCAUAUCAUCACAAAUAUAUCCAUUAAUUGCUUUAGACUUUAGAUAGAGCAUUUUGCAACCCACGCAUUUAAUCAUUUUAUUAAUUUGGAGAAUUCAAGGUUGAAACUAGAUACUGGAAAGAAAUUACGAUAGAGCAACUAUUCAUCAUUUCAACAAGGAAGAAGCAUAUAUCUUACAUCACAUAUAAGAGUGGAAUUAUAUUUUUGUCUUUUUAGCAUUUUUCAUCAUUUAUUUUAUAUGGAAUAAUUAAAACAUGAAUUUAACUAAUGGAAAUUUCAUAAAGUAAACAUGCUAAUUUAAAAUUAAGGAUGCAUGAAAAUAAAUAUGUAAUGCAGAUAACCUCGGGAUUGGGGGUCCUCCCCCAAGCUAGCUUCUGGCCUACUGAUCGGGGUUGUACCCCAUGUACCGCCAGAAGUCUUGGGACUGUUUCAGCAGCUGAUCUUGGCGAGCUUGCAUUUCUUCUUGCUGCUGCUGGUGCCAGGCCUGUUGUUGCUGUUGCCAUAGCAACCCUUGCUGGUGCCACUCCACGGCCUGCUGGUGGUGCGCAUCGGUGGUUUGGAUGUGUUGUUGGAGACUAUCCUGGAUCUCAUCCGUGCGCACCACCAGUCCCCCAAGCUGAGCUUGGAGGCGCUCCAAGUCGGUUCGGCCUACUGUGGAGGCCGAAGGAUGUUCUUGUGGUGAUUCGGCCCUCCAGCACGAUUGUUGUUCCCAAGCGCUGGAAUCCGCCUCAGCCCACCCCUCAACACCUUAUGUCGGCAUGGGUGUGUCCCACCCCGACUGGUAGAUCGGCUGUGUAUAGGAGGGUGGUGGCUGGGAGCUAGAUCCGCCGAUGUCCCUACCAGAAACACUACGCCUUCAUGCAGUUUCAGCUGUCUGCAGAUCAAAGGUUAGUCUCCCAGAGUUAUACAAGCGUAGACCCGGGUUAGGUAACCGGAUUACGUUUGUAUACCCUAGGACAUAAAACACAAGACCGCCCGCAUUAUCUCUUUUCAAAUGGUGACCUUGGAUAAGAUAGGUUUCAUUAAUCAUGGUGCGUGGAAUUUGAAUAUAAUCAAGAUCUUGCCCUUCCAACGCACCAAUGGCCAUGGCCACACGUGUUAUGAGUGAAGUCAUUGGGGUGGUUGUCUUGAUUAUAUCUAACCAAUGCCUUACAAUUUCUUGCACAGGCGCAACUUUUAUUUUCAUUCUAGCCGCGUAAAGUAACCUCAUUUCAUUUACUCGCACAACGCGGGUAUCCUGGCUAGGAAACAUUGUUAUGGAUAGCCAAAGGUGUAAAAACCUUAGAGUGGGGUGUUGGAUGUGGGCAUUUCUAGGAUAGUAUUUUCUAGUGUGAACUUGCCCCGUGAUUUCUUCCCAAAACUUAUCCUUAUUAAACCCUUUUAUGGCAUGCACUAAAUCAAGAGAGCAUCUUUGACGAAAACCAAGGAAUUUGCUUAAGUCUUUCCAAAAGAUAGCAUAUUCAUUUCCAAAUAAACGAACAAAAAUACCUUCAUAUGUUUCUCUUAAAGUGCAUAGGAAUUGAAUGGUAAGGGUAUAGGAUCCAUACUCAGUUAUGGGGUGAAUGUUGUCCCACCCGGCGGCUUUCCAUAUGGAGAGGAAUUCAGAGUCCAUACCGAUGUCGGAGAGGAGCGAGUCAUUGUAGACCGGCGUAUGGAGGAAGAUCCGGUCCUUGAGAUCCGGUACUACCGGUAGUUCAUUUUCUCGCAAAACUCAGGAGAAAGGGCUGGCAUUGCCGGUACGACCGGCCCUGAGGGUUGGUACUACCGGGUCACCUUGGCAGAGAAGAAAUUUCCUGAGUGCCUAAGAGUGCAAGUGUUAGAGUGUCUCUCUUUUGAUUAGUUUUAAUACUUGAGCACUCUAUCUUCCUCAAACCAACUAAAUUUGCAUCCCUCUUUAUAGUGCGGCAAAUCCUAAACUCAAGGUCAAAAGUAUAUAACCAAUUUAACCACUUGAGUCUUCAAUGUCUUCAUAUGCCACUUCUUCUCAAUAUCACUUCAUCAAGGAUGCAAUUAACUUUGUCUCAUCUUCUUUGAGUAAAUAUAGCUUGAGCAUGUGACUUGAAUCAUUUCAACAUAUGUGAGUUCAAUCCAUGACUUCAAGUCACUUCCAUUAAAGAUUUUGAUCCUCAACACAAUAUGACUCCUCAUAGCUUAAUUAGUACCUCGACUCAAUGCAAGUACUCUCUUCUUCACCUUAGCCAUGGUACCUCGGUCUACAAGCCAUUGCUUGACCUUCACCUUCGCUUAGUCCCUCGAAGCCUUUUCCUUGCUAUCUUCACUCUAUCAAGCCAUACUCAAGUCACAUCAUGUUAAGCAUCCAUUGAAAAAUUGUUUCUUCAAUAUUGUGAUUCUUGCUUGAAUAUCUUCUUGAUAUGAGCGUUAACAUUAAACAAGCUUCAGUUUACACCAACACACAACUUUGGUCUUCAUUUGAACAAUGUGUGAAAUACCAUCAAGUUUGCUUUCUUGUUGACCCUUUGAUACACUUAGCAAACUUGUUAGACCCUUAAUUGUGUUGUCAUUCAAUUCACCAAAACCCACUAAAGGGCUAGAUGCACUUACACUCCUUCUUCCCUUUGACGUAUAAACUGAUCUUGGCAGCACUGGCGUAGAUGAUAGCUCCUGUGGUGUUCAAAAAUGGCCUUCCUAGGAUGAUAGGUGCUCUCUCAUCAUUUCCGGUCUCUACCACUACGAAGUCUGCUGGGGCAUACAAGGUACCAACUCGGACACAAAGGUUCCUCACUAUUCCUUUUGGAAAAGUUAUCGUCUGAUCUGCAAACUGCAAACACAUGGUUGUCUCUAAUAAAGGAUAUGUAAAGAAUUUCUCAUAGAGUACCCUGGGUAUAAUGUUGACGCUAUAGCCAAAGUCAUAGAGUGCUUCUGGAACGUCCACCAUGCCGAUGGAGAUCGGGAUGACGGGGCGUCCUGGAUCGCCUCUCUUGACCGGCAGACGGUCAGUAGAAAAUUCAGUGACGGGGUUACUCCAAUUACCUGCAUGAAACAUGUCUACAAGAUUUGCAGAUUCUAAUCCUUCCGUUUGUGAUGGUAUACCGGGGUUAGUAGUAGGAACAACAGCAGCUAUUUGAUUUAACUGAGAUUCAAUCAUUUUAUUAAAGCUAAUUUGAUUCUUGAUGGCAGUAGAGAAAUUAUCCAUUCUAUUAUUUAUAUUUUCUAGCAUUUUAUCAUUUGAUGCCAAUUUCUUAGAUAGGUUAUCCAUUAGCUUUCCUUGAUUAGACACUAACUCUCUCAAAGGUGGAAAAUUAUUAUUAUUGUUGUAAGAAUUGUUACCUUGAUAAUUACCUGAGUAGUUAGGCCUCUGUUGAUUCCAAUCUUGAUUUUGUUGAGGACGGUUGUAGUUGUUGUUGUUGUUGUUGAUGUAGUUCACAUCCUCAAGCAUCUUAGGGCAGUGGUUGCCUGAGUGUCCAGUGUCUCCACACUCCUCACAAGUCAUGUGAGAGUCGUAGAUGUGCAUAACUUCUUUCUUGUCUCCAGCUCUAUCAUCGAGCUUCUUCAUGAGCAGGUCUCGCUUUGCAGACAGCAUGUCUACCUCCUUGAGCUGAUGUAUACCUCCACCUCUCUUGCGUGUCUGGGUCCUCUCUUCAUUCCAGCUUUGGUUGGACGCCAUCUUCUCCACAAGAGCUGUGGCUUGUGGUAUAGUAAGUGAUAAGAAUGCUCCUCCAGCUGCAGCAUCCAUGGUCUCUCGGGCACUGUUGCUGAGGCCAUGAUAGAAUGUCUGCAUCAGUAGCCAACUCUCCAUUCCAUGAUGGGGACAUUCUAGGAUGUAGUCUUGAAAGCGCUCCCAUGCUUCUGGAACAGAUUCAUCAUUUUGUUGCUGAAAACUUGUAAUCUUCCCACGGAGAGCAUUGGUCUUGCCCAUGGGAAAGAACUUAGCCAGGAAGUUUGUUGAGCAGAGUGCCCACGUAGUAUUCUUCUCCUUUGUAGCGUAGAACCACUGCUUCGCUCUUUCUAAUAGUGAGAAUGGGAACAGGCGAAGUAUUAUAGCGUCUUUGGAAACUCCUGCUAUGCUGAAUGUGUUGCAAAUCUCCAGGAAGUGUUGUAAAUGAGCACUAGCGUCUUCGUGUGCCUUCCCACAGAACUGGUUGGAUUGCACCAUGUUGAUAAGUCCAGGCUUGAGCUCAAAGUUGCCAUCGAUCUCUGCAGCAGGUCCAGUGCGGAUGUUGUCCGUAGUGGGAGUUGAGAACUCGCGGAUUGAUUUGUUCGCCAUGGCUUCGAACUCUGAAGACAAGUUCCGGUGAUCUUCUUGAUUGGAUGAAGCUUCUUCGUGAAGUGUUGAUGAUUUCUUUAGCUUGGCUCUCGUCUUCUUGAAUAAUGCUUCAGGAUUGUCAACAAAAUUUCCUGGAAGAUGUCUUCUAUUCAUACAUUCCCCUGCAUAAGAUAAAAUAGAAAAAUAUCGGGGUAAAACUGUAUGAGAGAAUAGAUAAGCUCAAUCAUAUUAGUGAUGCGAAUGAUAACUCAAAAUCUUUUUAUUCCAUUCAUGAUUAGUAAUCAACCUUCCCCGGCAACGGCGCCAAAAAUGCUUGUUGGGUAUUCUUAACAUCAUUACCAAAAGUAGACUAAGUUCUCUAAAUCUAGUAACGGUGCCAAAAAUGCCAAACCUAUCCCUCACACCACUUAAGCCAAGUUGUCAUCCCCAGCAUGAUAUAAGAGACGCGGUAUUGAAAUAUGCAAUUGCUCUUCUAAAUAAAUAAUGAAUUGGAUCUGCAAGCGCACAGAUUAAUACCGAUGUAGCAUUUUAACCGGGAAGUAUUCCAGGUAUCGUUAUUUAUAUUUUUACCACUGGGAAGGGAUUAGCAAUCAUCACUAUUGAUUACAGAAUAGAAUAUGAGAUUGAGCAUCUAUCAUUGCAUGUAUAAUUGAGAACAUUAUAUCUAACUCUUCAUACAGGGAUAAGUGUCACAUAAAGGAUAUAUGAAAUAAUAAUAGUGACAAAGAUAAUUAAUCUGAUCUAGCCACAUAAUAAAUAUGAUAAGCACCUCAAUUAGAUACUCUAGAAAGUCAUUAGCAUGGUAUUAGAACGAACUACAAGAAUAUUCCCUAAGUUAUUCUCAACUAUAUAGUCUAGCAUAUCAUAGUUAGUGCAAGCAUACUUAGCAAUCAUUGCGAGACAAGACUACGCCCAUGCAUAGUGAUAUUAGCAAGGAAUAUGAGAAACAUAGCAAUCACUCCCCUGUAAUAAUGUUGCUCUGCCAGCCCAAUACACGAGAGGGGGACUAUAUAAGAAUCAAUGAAGCUGUCACUAUCACGAACCACCCCACGAUCUGGCAUAUUGGGUACAAUCGCAGAUAAAUACGGUAUAAGCACCACGCCUACACAAUAUCUAUCAUUUACCCAUGGAUCCGAUGGAUAAACGCUAUACGAUCCUAAGCAUGUAUAUAGAUCCAAUCUAACUAAGCCAAGUACAUAACUAUGAUAAACUAAGAACAAUAUAAUCUUGAAUAUAAGCAAGUAGAGCAAAGUCAUAAGCAAUAUAUUGAAGUAGAACAAAGUCAUAUUCAUAAUAUUGAAGAACAAAGAUAAUUAGAAAGCAAUUAGAAACACAAUUAGAGAAUUACCAAGAAUCCUCUUGACAGAUCCGGAAACCAAUCGAAGAUUGACUCCUUCUAGUUCUAAUCCUAUGUAGCUAUGCUAAUCUAGAUAUCUAAUUGAUGUGGUGGCUCUAAUCUUGAUCAGAGGCUUCUUCUCCCUUGAUGGAACAAUGAAUUAGGGUUGAGAGGCUCUCUCCUCUAGGGGCCAGGGGGUCUGGUUUUAUAGUCCCUUCAAGUGAAUAUGGGCCCUUGGAUCAAACCGACAUAGAUUGUAUGGUUUAGAUUCAUCCUUUAGGUCGGUGGAGAUCUCCCACAAAGCAGAGUCCUGAUUGGACUCAGGAGGUGGGCGGGCGCCCUGACCAACUGGGCGGCCGCCCACGGUCUGGCCCCAUUUCGCCUCCACUUCGGUCUCGUGGCUUCUGGAGUCUUCUAGAUGUAAGAUAAUUGCGCAGCACGUUAAUACCUUUACGUAAUCCUGACAUGUGGGCCUUUCUUCCAUAUUUCCUGAUAACCCCCUGCAGAAAUAGACAAACACCAAAACUCAUGGAAUUCUGUCAGAUAAAACCCUAAGUCUGGAUCUUGAUUUCAUUUGGAUCCUUUUCUUUAUUUAUUUGAUAAUUAAUUUUGAUACUUAAGGACCGUCAACAGCAUCUAUCAUUGCAUGUAUAAUUGAGAACAUUAUAUCUAACUCUUCAUACAGGGAUAAGUGUCACAUAAAGGAUAUAUGAAAUAAUAAUAGUGACAAGGAUAACUAAUCUGAUCUAGCCACAUAAUAAAUAUGAUAAGCACCUCAAUUAGAUACUCUAGAAAGUCAUUAGCAUGGUAUUAGAACGAACUACAAGAAUAUUCCCUAAGUUAUUCUCAACUAUAUAGUCUAGCAUAUCAUAGUUAGUGCAAGCAUACUUAGCAAUCAUUGUGAGACAAGACUACGCCCAUGCAUAGUGAUAUUAGCAAGGAAUAUGAGAAACAUAGCAAUCACUCCCCUGUAAUAAUGUUGCUCUGCUAGCCCAAUACACGAGAGGGGGACUAUAUAAGAAUCAAUGAAGUUGUCACUAUCACGAACCACCCCACGAUCUGGCAUAUUGGGUACAAUCGCAGAUAAAUACGGUAUAAGCACCACGCCUACACAAUAUCUAUCAUUUACCCAUGGAUCCGAUGGAUAAACGCUAUACGAUCCUAAGCAUGUAUAUAGAUCCAAUCUAACUAAGCUAAGUACAUAACUAUGAUAAACUAAGAACAAUAUAAUCUUGAAUAUAAGCAAGUAGAGCAAGGUCAUAAGCAAUAUAUUGAAGUAGAACAAAGUCAUAUUCAUAAUAUUGAAGAACAAAGAUAAUUAGAAAACAAUUAGAAACACAAUUAGAGAAUUACCAAGAAUCCUCUUGACAGAUCCGGAAACCAAUCGAAGAUUGACUCCUUCUAGUUCUAAUCCUAUGUAGCUAUGCUAAUCUAGAUAUCUAAUUGAUGUGGUGGCUCUAAUCUUGAUCAGAGGCUUCUUCUCCCUUGAUGGAACAAUGAAUUAGGGUUGAGAGGCUCUCUCCUCCAGGGGCCAGGGGGUCUGGUUUUAUAGUCCCUUCAAGUGAAUAUGGGCCCUUGGAUCAAACCGACAUAGAUUGUAUGGUUUAGAUUCAUCCUUUAGGUCGGUGGAGACUUCCCGCAAAGCAGAGUCCUGAUUGGACUUGGGAGCAGGGCGGGCGCCCAGUAGGACAGGGCGGGCGCCCUGUCUCUGGCCCUGAUUCGCCUCAGCUUCGGUCUCGUGGCUUCUGGAGUCUUCUAGAUGUAAGAUAAUUGCGCAGCACGUUAAUACCUUUACGUAAUCCUGACAUGUGGGCCUUUCUUCCAUAUUUCCUGAUAACCCCCUGCAGAAAUAGACAAACACCAAAACUCAUGGAAUUCUGUCAGAUAAAACCCUAAGUCUAGAUCUUGAAUUCAUUUGGAUCCUUUUCUUUAUUUAUUUGAUAAUUAAAUUUGAUACUGAAGGACCGUCAACAAACUCCCCCAAGCUUACCUCUUGCUCGUCCCUGAGCAAGGAUAGACUCAGCUAUGGAUCAUAAGUUGUUAAAUAAGAUCUCAUCUCUGAGUUAGAGUAAACUAUCAAGAUUUAAAACUUACUUACUUUACCUACACCAUGGGACUUGUAACCGUCACUUCUGUCUUGAGUGGUUAAAAGAUAGAACAGUCUAGCCAAGUGCCAUGUCUCUUAUUCUUGAUCAGCUAUAACUCUGGGGUUUUUUGCAGAUUUUCAAAUAAAACUCAGAGAUUCCUUGUAUGAUUCUCUCAGGUCUCUCUUUUGUGGUAUUUUUGGAUCCUUACCAAGGCAUUGAUGGUAUAUGCCUUCUCUCAAGAUAUGUAGUAUUUGUGGUAUAAGGCAUAGUGACAUUGCCUUCUCUCUCACCCUACUCUAAUAAGGCUUUAAUAUCUGGAGCUCAUAGGUGGGAGAUAAAGUGCACAUACUUACAAGACAUUUAUUGCAUAGUCAAACCAUGGAUCCAAAGUAACAAGUCAUUAAGCCAAAUCAAGAUGUGCAUGUGUGGCGAAUGAAUGGUGUAUGGUGAUGAUGGUGAUAACAAUGGUGAAAACAAUGGUGGUGGAUGUCUAAUUCUACUUUGCUCUUUGAGGGGAUACAUACCUUCCUUGCUUUUGAAACUUUAUGAGGAGAAUGAGAUGCUCUUCUUUUUCUUGUCUCUCAGGUGGGUAUCUUGCACCCCUAAUUCUACUGUCGGACACUUGUCCAUUUUUACCUCUCGUCUCACUCUUUCUUUUCUUUCGAGGUUCCGAGCACUUGCUCCUUUUUAUUUCCUCGUAUAUUUUUUUAUUUUCUUCUUUUUUCUAGAGCACUCAUCUCUUGAGAUAAUAUAGCAAGUGAUAGUAACAAGAUAACUUGAGCAUUUAUUUCACAAGGGGAAACAGAAAUAUUUUUGGUUAUUCUCUCCUGGAUUAGGAGCAGAAUAUUUUUGGGUGAUUCUGGAGAUGGAAAUGGUUGGAUAUAUGUGGAUGGUACUUCCGGAGUAGAAGUAGCAUAUAUGAGUGAACGUGCAGGUGAAAUCUUGAUUUAACCACAUGACAAGCUCCUAAGGGUCUACACAGCUUGACCACACUCAAUGCUCAUAAGCAGUAAAUAAUAAAUGUGUGGCUCAAAGUCUAGCAAGCAUGUAUAUAUGGCUGUGGUAGGAAUUUAAGCUCUCAUCAUACAGGAACUCAUCAUGCAACAUUUUAAAGAUUUUCAAAGAUAAAAUUCUCCAGAAUUCUAGCAUCUCUAGGAACAGAUAAACAGCAGCUCAACCUUCCCAUAUCGUAUCCGUUAACAACUUAGACUUCAGAUCAAGUUUUCAUCCCACAAGUUUAGGUCUAGGGCAAGCUUUAAAUUAUAACAGUUAUAUCUAAACUUGAGAGAGAACUUAGAAUGUGCAAAUUAGGCAGAGCAACUAUUCAUCAUAUCCAUGCUUAAGUUUUUGUUUAGAUACAGAUUAGCAUAGCCACUUUAUUUAUUUAUUAAACACACUAAGCAAAAGACAUAUAUAAGCAUAAAAUCUUUAUUUGGUUUUCCAAUAGUUUAUGUGUAUUUUAAUAUUCUAAAAUAAUAUAAGUAUAAAAAUAGAUAGAAAUACUUAUCAAGGUAAAUGGGGGUGCUCUCCCCCAAGCUGAAUUUUGACGUAAUUUCUCUUAAUGUAGCUAGCAGGUGGCAGAGGUGUAUUUGAAAGUCAGCAGUAUUCUGACAGCGAUUAGAAUGUCCUCCGUCUGCCAGUCUUCUUGAUUCUUAAAUUCUGUGGAGCUCAAAUAGACAACAAAGCUUGUGGAACUGAUUAAGUGUUAGCAUAAAUAUCUAGCCUUUAUUAUCUUGAGACUCCUCAAUAAAUAUUACUCCCUGUUUUUAUAUUUUUUUAUUUUAUAAAGCAGAAAUGAAAUUUUUAUUUUAUUUUUAUGCCACCACAGUGAAUGUAUUUAUGGGUUUUAUGCCACUCGUAUACUCACAUGGGGCUUACUGUUUUUUCACAUUUUUAUUUUCUUUUUAGGAUAGUGCGAACAUGAUUAACUAAGUAAACUAGUUGAAAUAAUUAAAAGGGAAAGGAUAACUACUAAGUUUACCUCUUGGCAGGGCGUUCGGUGUUUUUAAGUCCUCCGAACGGGACUCUCCAAUUUCUUAAUCGUCCUGAGGUUCGUUGGGUGGCGAAGUCGGUACUUCUGGCAGCGCCUCCUCUUCUUGUAUAGUUAUCUUCAUUUUCCAUACCUGACUCGGUGCUUCAAUCUCCUCUGGACAAUUCUGUUUAAACUCCACGUCUUCUGACCUUACAACUUCUCCUUCAUAGUCUGCCCAUCCGUCCUUGAUGAUCUGCCUCCUCUGGUUGCGGUUGCGUCUCUUUCUGACCUGCUU
This 26395-nucleotide long non-coding RNA is filed under the name Sorghum bicolor (sorghum). Its description in RNAcentral is "long non-coding RNA (SBIC_LNC017510)". The stretch from base 11562 to 11668 matches the Rfam family "Plant small nucleolar RNA R71". The record is from RNAcentral. Lineage: Eukaryota; Viridiplantae; Streptophyta; Magnoliopsida; Poales; Poaceae.